CCUACGGGUGGCAGCAGUGAGGAAUAUUGGUCAAUGGGCGGGAGACUGAACCAGCCAAGCCGCGUGAGGGAGGAAGGUACAGAGUAUCGUAAACCUCUUUUGUCAGGGAACAAAGGCGGGGACGUGUCCCCGGAUGAGUGUACCUGAAGAAAAAGCAUCGGCUAACUCCGUGCCAGCAGCCGCGGUAAUACGGAGGAUGCGAGCGUUAUCCGGAUUUAUUGGGUUUAAAGGGUGCGCAGACGGGUUGUUAAGUCAGCUGUGAAAGUUCGGGGCUCAACCGCCGCCCUGCCGUUGAUACUGGCAGUCUUGAGUUGGAUAGAAGUAGGCGGAAUGCGUGGUGUAGCGGUGAAAUGCAUAGAUAUCGCGCAGAACUCCGAUUGCGAAGGCAGCAUGCCGGCUCCACACUGACGUUGAGGCACGAAAGUGUGGGUAUCGAACAGGAUUAGAUACCCUAGUAGUC
RNAcentral lists this ribosomal RNA (460 nucleotides) under uncultured bacterium. Its description in RNAcentral is "partial 16S ribosomal RNA". It matches the Rfam family "Bacterial small subunit ribosomal RNA", at positions 338 to 795 of the family's 1533-position model. The record is from RNAcentral.